RNAcentral lists this ribosomal RNA (579 nucleotides) under uncultured bacterium. Its description in RNAcentral is "bacterial SSU rRNA". It matches the Rfam family "Bacterial small subunit ribosomal RNA", at positions 338 to 916 of the family's 1533-position model. The record is from RNAcentral.
CCUACGGGAGGCAGCAGUGAGGAAUAUUGGACAAUGGAGGCAACUCUNAUCCAGCCAUGCCGCGUGCAGGAAGACUGCCCUAUGGGUUGUAAACUGCUUUUAUAUAGGAAGAAACCUUGGUACGUGUACUAAGCUGACGGUACUAUAAGAAUAAGGAUCGGCUAACUCCGUGCCAGCAGCCGCGGUAAUACGGAGGAUCCAAGCGUUAUCCGGAAUCAUUGGGUUUAAAGGGUCCGUAGGUGGAUAAUUAAGUCAGAGGUGAAAUCUUGCAGCUCAACUGUAAAAUUGCCUUUGAUACUGGUUAUCUUGAGUUAUUAUGAAGUAGUUAGAAUAUGUAGUGUAGCGGUGAAAUGCAUAGAUAUUACAUAGAAUACCAAUUGCGAAGGCAGAUUACUAAUAAUCAACUGACACUGAUGGACGAAAGCGUGGGUAGCGAACAGGAUUAGAUACCCUGGUAGUCCACGCCGUAAACGAUGGUUACUAGCUGUUUGGGCUUUAUGUCUGAGUGGCUAAGCGAAAGUGAUAAGUAACCCACCUGGGGAGUACGUUCGCAAGAAUGAAACUCAAAGGAAUUGACGG